AACGUUACNNNNNNNNNNCCUCGGCGGGAUCUUCUGCCCCGGGUGCGUCGCAGCCCCGGACCAAGGCGCCCGCCGGAGGAAUCAACCAAAACUCUUAUUGUAUACCCCCUCGCGGGUUUUUUUUAUAAUCUGAGCCUUCUCGGCGCCUCUCGUAGGCGUUUCGAAAAUGAAUCAAAACUUUCAACAACGGAUCUCUUGGUUCUGGCAUCGAUGAAGAACGCAGCGAAAUGCGAUAAGUAAUGUGAAUUGCAGAAUUCAGUGAAUCAUCGAAUCUUUGAACGCACAUUGCGCCCGCCAGUAUUCUGGCGGGCAUGCCUGUCCGAGCGUCAUUUCAACCCUCGAACCCCUCCGGGGGGUCGGCGUUGGGGAUCGGCCUUCCUUCACGGGGGCCGUCUCCGAAAUACAGUGGCGGUCUCGCCGCAGCCUCUCCUGCGCAGUAGUUUGCACACUCGCAUCGGGAGCGCGGCGCGUCCACAGCCGUUAAACACCCAACUUUCUGAAAUGUUGACCUCGGAUCAGGUAGGAAUACCCGCUGAACUUAA
This 542-nucleotide ribosomal RNA is filed under the name uncultured Hypocreaceae. RNAcentral describes it as "eukaryotic LSU rRNA". The stretch from base 176 to 329 matches the Rfam family "5.8S ribosomal RNA". Lineage: Eukaryota; Fungi; Ascomycota; Sordariomycetes; Hypocreales. The record is from RNAcentral.